UGUUCCAUGGUGUAAUGGUUAGCACUAGAGUUUUUGGUACUCUCAGUCUCUGUUCGAAUCAGGGUGGAACAACCA
This 75-nucleotide transfer RNA is filed under the name Prevotella sp. CAG:617. Its description in RNAcentral is "transfer RNA-Pseudo(TTG)". It matches the Rfam family "tRNA". Rfam says of the family: Transfer RNA (tRNA) molecules are approximately 80 nucleotides in length. Their secondary structure includes four short double-helical elements and three loops (D, anti-codon, and T loops). Lineage: Bacteria; Pseudomonadati; Bacteroidota; Bacteroidia; Bacteroidales; Prevotellaceae. The record is from RNAcentral.